This 523-nucleotide small RNA is filed under the name Pongo abelii (Sumatran orangutan). RNAcentral describes it as "retained intron". The record is from RNAcentral. Lineage: Eukaryota; Metazoa; Chordata; Mammalia; Primates; Hominidae.
GUACUGAAUGAUGCAGACACAACUCCCUCUAACUCCCACUCUUUGACUCUGCAAAUGGGCCACCCACUUCUUCAUUUUCAUCUUCCUGAGCGUUCUGUGGGGAAACUCAAAUUCUGAUAAUCUGGGGUCUUGCUCUGCUCCAUUGCUGAGAAGUACUGUGGAGCAGGCUGACGAGGAGAGAUGGGCGUCAGGGGGCAGGGAAGGCCAGAGACCCCCGAAUCUUCUUCAUGGAUGUCAGCUUCAGCAUCCAUGCCCCCAUGCUCUGUUUCUGCAGUUUAGCCCACGAGCUGCGUCUCAGCUGCAUGGAGAGGAAAAAGGUCCAGAUUCGAAGCAUGGAUCCCUCCGCCUUGGCAAGCGACCGAUUUAACCUCAUACUGGCAGAUACCAACAGUGACCGGCUCUUCACAGUGAACGAUGUUAAAGUCGGAGGCUCCAAGUAUGGCAUCAUCAACCUGCAAAGUCUGAAGACCCCUACGCUCAAGGUGUUCAUGCACGAAAACCUCUACUUCACCAACCGGAAGGU